Molecule: transfer RNA, 77 nt
Filed under: Gryllotalpicola protaetiae
Lineage: Bacteria; Bacillati; Actinomycetota; Actinomycetes; Micrococcales; Microbacteriaceae
Description: Gryllotalpicola sp. 2DFW10M-5 tRNA-Leu
Rfam family: tRNA
About the family: Transfer RNA (tRNA) molecules are approximately 80 nucleotides in length. Their secondary structure includes four short double-helical elements and three loops (D, anti-codon, and T loops). Further hydrogen bonds mediate the characteristic L-shaped molecular structure. tRNAs have two regions of fundamental functional importance: the anti-codon, which is responsible for specific mRNA codon recognition, and the 3' end, to which the tRNAs corresponding amino acid is attached (by aminoacyl-tRNA synthetases). tRNAs cope with the degeneracy of the genetic code in two manners: having more than one tRNA (with a specific anti-codon) for a particular amino acid; and 'wobble' base-pairing, i.e. permitting non-standard base-pairing at the 3rd anti-codon position.
Source: RNAcentral
GCCCCCGUAGCCCAAUUGGCAGAGGCAGGGAACUUAAAAUUCUCACAGUGCCGGUUCGAACCCGGCCGGGGGCACGA